This is a non-coding RNA of Russula brevipes, 100 nucleotides long. NCBI's taxonomy places the organism in Eukaryota, Fungi, Basidiomycota, Agaricomycetes, Russulales, Russulaceae. The record is from the annotation of a GenBank genome assembly.
GGCAAUAUGGCCGAGCGGUCUAAGGCGCUGGAAUCAGGUGUUAUUUGAAUUACCCCUUAUCCAGUCCGAAAGGGCGUGGGUUCGAAUCCCACUGUUGUCA